Long non-coding RNA from Neodiprion fabricii, 1456 nucleotides. RefSeq lists it as uncharacterized. Lineage: Eukaryota; Metazoa; Arthropoda; Insecta; Hymenoptera; Diprionidae. The transcript has 2 exons. The record is from RefSeq and is a predicted model, not a curated record.
ACUUUUGGAACAAGUAUUUCGACAAUAUUCAUAAACACUUGCUUUCCACACAUAAUAAUUGCUAACUGUAUUGAAAGUUCGCUUAAACAACCUGCUGGAUCACAUUGCUGCAUAGCAAUACCAGACAUAAGAUUCCAGCGUCCAUGAUCGCCAGGAUGUGUGUAAAACUUCCCUUUGAAGAAUGCUACGUACACUAAUGCAGAGUAGUAAUUAAUAAAUGACAGAAUAUAGAUUUUUAUAGUGUAACUCUUGCUAUACUCUGCACGUGUUCUAGGAUUCUCUAAAUCAGUCAAGAUUAAAGCUAGCUUUUGAUAUACCUGUAAAAACAGAAAAUUCAGAUCAACGUUGAAAUAUCUUUUAUCACGUUACAGGGAGUCCAAAUCUGUACUUACAAAUUCCAGUGCCAAUAUGAAGAUCAAAUUUAAAAAUGAAGCAAUAACAAUUGCUAUUAUUGAACUGUUCCAGCGAAGGAUUUGGUUGUGGCUAACUCUCAAAAAGAAAUUCUAGAGUGAUUGCUCAGCUCUGAAAAAAAAUCUAGUAAUGAAUUAUCUUGUCAUACGUACCAGUACCAUGAUGAGGCUGACAGAUAACGCUAUUUGCCAGGUCUUACGAAAUGCAUCAUGCUCCAGAUGAACCUUUUUUGUCAGUGAAUUAUACCGAUACUUGGUUGCUGCUUUUUCAAACUGUGGUCGAAUGUCGUGGUCUAUUAUUGUGUCACGAAGAUUCCAGUACCAACUUAAAAUUGAUAACUUUCGCUUCCACAUUUUGUUGAAGAUUGUUGCUAUUGAAAUUGACCCAUCAAUGAUAUGUUUAUUGUAAUAAUGUAUAAAAAACGACGCAACUUAGAACAGUAUAUCGACAUGAUUGAUUUGAUCUCUAUACCCCAUAAUGCCAUAAAUGCUGAAUAAAAAACUGUCAUAUUGUUAUCAGCGAUAUGCGAAAUUUUUGUGUACGAACAAGAGUCAGAUAUUUUGUAUGCAGAACAGUGGUUUUCGUCCGGACACCGUCCACACAUUUUUUCCACACUUGAACACAACUCAUCUCUGUAUGUAAACGAGUUGUUUGUUAAUUUUAAAUAGGAACAGUUAUUAGGUAAUCCGAUUUCAUUAAUUUAAUAUUUUCAUGAUGGCAUAGUCUUACACAAAUGAGUUACUUCCAUGUAAAGUAGUAAGUCCAAAAAUGAAUGUGGCAAUUCCUACAACAGUUGGAAAUAGCAGCAUUCGAUUGUAAAACGCCAGCCAAGUGAAGUAAAGACCAACUUCGCAACCGAAGUAGAGGCAAAUUAAAUUCAAUGGUUGAUAUUUAAAUGUCGCCUUAGGACUGCCCCACUCAUGAUACAGAAUCUGUUGAUGAGAUACAAUGUGAAUAAUUCAUUUUCAAAUAUGGUAAUAAAAGUUUAAAAAUGUAAGCAUGUGAAAUGGAAUUUCAUGCCAUGAAAUUAUAAAUUUGUCAUAUA